GUCCAGACUCCUACGGGAGGCAGCAGUGGGGGAUAUUGCACAAUGGGGGAAACCCUGAUGCAGCGACGCCGCGUGAGUGAAGAAGUAAUUCGUUACGUAAAGCUCUAUCAGCAGGGAAGAAAAUGACGGUACCUGACUAAGAAGCCCCGGCUAACUACGUGCCAGCAGCCGCGGUAAUACGUAGGGGGCAAGCGUUAUCCGGAUUUACUGGGUGUAAAGGGAGCGUAGACGGUUCUGCAAGCCAGAUGUGAAAGCCCGGGGCUCAACCCCGGGACUGCAUUUGGAACUGUAAGGCUAGAGUGUCGGAGAGGCAGGCGGAAUUCCUAGUGUAGCGGUGAAAUGCGUAGAUAUCAGGAGGAACACCGGUGGCGAAGGCGGCCUGCUGGACUGCAACUGACGUUGAGGCCCGAAAGCGUGGGGAGCAAACAGGAUUAGAUACCCCGGUA
RNAcentral lists this ribosomal RNA (446 nucleotides) under uncultured bacterium. RNAcentral describes it as "bacterial SSU rRNA". It matches the Rfam family "Bacterial small subunit ribosomal RNA", at positions 329 to 792 of the family's 1533-position model. The record is from RNAcentral.